Molecule: long non-coding RNA, 5372 nt
Organism: Ictalurus punctatus (channel catfish)
Lineage: Eukaryota; Metazoa; Chordata; Actinopteri; Siluriformes; Ictaluridae
Source: Ensembl
AGCUAAUACAAGACAAUGGGAAAUAUGUCCGACAUGAUGUAGACGAUGUCAGCACCAAAAUUAGUAAAUAUCAGACGGACUUUGUGACAACCACAACAAUAAACUCAUUCAGAAAUUUUGGGGGCACUAUGGAGUCAACUGGCCAAAACCUAAAAGAAAUGACCAAAGGAUUAUAAAAUUUGGGCAAAGUGUGAUGAGUAUGCCAAAUUUCCCUGAUUUUCAUGCACUACAAGGGUGUCAAAUUUGCGUUCAAAACCUUGGUAGCGCUAUGGAGCUCAGGCAGCACACCUAUCCUAAACGACAAUAUCAAGUGAAAAAUUGACCUAAUAGAAAUGUAAAGUUUGAUGCAUUUUCAGCCAUUGUAAGCCUCUCAAAACAACGUGUUUGAAAACCCGACAUUCCAGCCAACAUGGCAGACUUCCUGUUGAGCAGAGUCAGAUACAACCAAGUGAAACUUGUUGUACAUGAGUGCAACAACCAUACCAAAUCUUCUGCUCCUCCGAGAAAAUUAAUCAAAUUCCAUUCCACCUUUCGGGGGCACUAUGGAGCUGCUAAACCACAACCAAGUCUUUUUACUACAUGUUUUAAUUUUCACCAGGUAUAACAUAUCAGGUCUGCUGAAUUUCAUUCAUAUUGAAGCAUCACAAAUGCCUCAAACAUUAGUGAAAGUGCUAAAUAAAAUAAUAAUGAUAAACACACACAAAACAAUAGGGCUUUGCACCUUUGGUGCAGGCCGCUCUGCUGAAGCCUACCAGGUUUAAUUACAAUUGAUCAAAGGAUGGCCGAGAUACAGCCUCUGAUCCAAUUUUGCGUCAACAUCGUUAAAUUUGCGACAUCAUAACUUUUGAACAUGUAUGAAUAUAAAAAUUGUUUAGCUGUUUGAACGAUGAGUAAUGAAAAAACUGUGUAUCUGUACAUUUCAAAGUGGUGACUACUGUAAUGGAUGGAGUCUUAAUGUAAGAUAUGGAUUGUGAUCAGCAUGAGGAGAGAAAUCUGUUCGACUAAAUUUCUUUUCUCUAGGACAAACUGUUCAACAAUUAUAACUAUUUGAAAAGUGAAUGUUUGAACUAGUGGUGGCACGAUACAGUUGGUCCUAGAGAUCCCAUGAUUGGUCCAGAUACUACUCAUGGUCAUAUCUAUGCCUGUGCCAAAUUUCAUCAUUUUCCUCCUUACAGAUCAUAGGGCUGCCAUAGACUCCUAUUAGGGAAGAAGAAGAAGAAGCAGAAUAAUAAUAAUAUAGCUGCAAACAACGAUUAAUGGGGUCAAGCCCCAAAGGCACAGCGAGCGCAAUGUGGAGCCUGAAGAACACAAAGAGGUGAAAUAGAAUGUACAUGAAUGAAUGAAUAAACUGAACUGAAGCUUGUUGUUUAUCAUAGUGCACCACACGGAGAAUGCACGUUUAUUUUGAUGCUGAAGAGAGCUUCCAAGAUCAUCUGAGCCAAUUUUGCUACGAAUUGAACAAAAUUCAUCAUUUUCCUACUUAAGAUUCAUAGGGCUGCCAUAGACUUUCACUGAGGAAGAAGAAGAAGAAUAGGAAAACUAACGGAUACAAUAGGUGCCUACACAUCUUUGGUGCUUGGCCCCUAAUAAUAGGAAAACUAACAGAUACAAUAUGGGCUGACCCCUAAUAAACGGAGCAGAUCCAAUAGGGCCUCUCACCAUCGGUGCUCAGGCCCUAAUAAUAAUAAGUAGAGAUGCACUGAUGUAUAGUUUGAAAACAUCCGAUGAUCAGGGCCGAUUAUAUCCUGUCAAUCAAAAGAGGGUGGGAAAACGCAUCAAUUUCAUGCUGUGUGUAAAGAUGAUGUCUCUUGUGUGGAAUGACGACAAAACUGCAGUUUGUAAGCUCUGCACCUCAAAAAUUUUACACCGGAAGUGAGCAGCACUGAAGCGGCGUCGAGUCUAAUUCCCCCUAAUAACCCCCCCACCCCAGCGCUACUCCUGCGCUUCUCCUGCUUUUCAAGCAUGAAUUGCCUGUUUAAGGUUCUGCCACAGCAUCUAAGUCGGUUCAAGUCAGAACUUUGACUAGGCCACUCCAAAACUUUAAUUUAGCUUUUUUUUGAGCUGUUCAGAGGUGGACUUACUCCUGUGCUUUGGAUCAUUGUCUUGAAUUAUUGUCUAUACUUGUGUAGACCUGUGCUGUUAAUUUAUGCAGUUGACGUUCAACUUUAAAACGUCUACAAAUACAGUCUGGUCAUAAGUAUUUGGACAGCCACACAAUUUUUAAAAAUCAUUUUUAGAAGACCACGGAAGACAACUAAAGUGGGUGAUUGCAGAAUUCUUUCCUUGGUGAAGACAAACCCCUUCACAAUACAUCGCCAAGUCAAGAACACUCUUGAGGAGGUAGGUGCAUCAUUGACAGUCUACAACCAAUAAACACCUUCAUGAAUGUAAAUAUGGAGGUUUUACUUCAAAAUGCAACCCACAGGUAACACUCUAGAACAGAAAGACUAGAUUAGACUGCUAGAAAACAUCUUAAAAAAAAAAAAAAGCCUGCUCACUUCUAGAACAACUUUGGACAGAUGAAACCAAGAUUAACUCGUACCAGGAUAAUGGGAAUGCUAUAUAUAUAUAUAUUUUUUUUGUGGUAAACCACCUGAAUUAAAACUGAAUGGAAUGUCUACACUUAAGUCACAUCUUGAUUGCUUAAUUUCAGGACCAUUAUGGUGGUGUACAGAGGCAAAAUUACAAAACCUUUUUCACAGUCCAAAUACUUAUGGACCCAAAUGUAAAUAUUCCUGUUAACUGAUUAAAAAUCGAAUAGUCUUUUUAGUUAUUAAUUGACUUUUUAGUAAACAAUGAAAAUUGAAAUGUCAAUAGCAGUAAAACGCUUAAAGACUGAGGGGUCUUAUUUUGGUUUGUUUGUUCAUUUAACCUAGAGCAAAAAAUACCACCGAUUUGUGAAAAUCAGCUGAACAUAAAGCAGUUAAAUAAAAACAAUUUACAGCUACUUUUUUAGGGUAGACCAGCAACUGUCCAUAAUAUUGAUUGAAUUGAUUGAAUUUGACCCUUUCUUGUAUGGUAGAUAUUUUGAUGUAUUACAGUGGGCAGUUCGGCAUCUACUGUUUACCUCUACUUGUUGUGGCUUAACAUUGAAUCUGGCCCUUUCCAGUAUGGUAGAAGUUUUGAUGUAUUGUAGUGGGCAGUGUAGCAUCCACAGUGUUACUUUACUUGGGCCAAAAGCUAUAUAGCUAGAACUUACUGUAUGAUGUUGGACUGGUGCCAAAAGAAUAAUCAGUGUUAGUUUUCUUAUGCCAAAGGUUCACAUUCUUUGUGUGGUGGAAAAAGGCUCUAGGCUCCCUGUAUUUUUAAUUGUAUAGAUAGUGGAUAUAGUCUUUUCUAACUUUGUCACUUCCUUUGACAGUGAGCUACUUUUUCUGGUUGCUCUUUGAUGCAUCUGUUAUUUCUAUUUAAGCGGCUAAAUAUAAACUGUCAGAGGGGAUUUAUUUUUUAUGAAUAAAUAAGCAUGUUUACAUAAGACAACACAGGAAUAUUUAACACACAUGGGUAAAAAACCUUGUCUUUGUUCAUUCUGUCACUGAAAGUUCUAGGUGUGACUGAGUUAUUGAAUUUGUCAAGUAUGGUGAUCAUCACAAAUGACUGCAAAUAAAUAUCAUCUUUUACCUAUUAUUAUUAUUAUUAUUAUUAUUAUUAUUACUACUACUACUACUACUCAUUUUCAUUAUAUUAUUUGAUUUUGAACAUUUGCUUAUAAUGUAGUAAAUAUUAUUGACCAAACGGGAGAUGUGUAUGGUCUGUGUAUUUUUUGCUUGCAUGUCCUCCAAGCAAGAUGAUGGUUUAAAGACCACAGUGUAUUCGUUACUUGUGUAGUGUUGGCAGUUUGUAAAAGCAAUUUUCCCUUUAGCAUUUGACUUGAUAUUAAAUCUCUAACUUCAAGUGAGCAGAAUUGGAUUAGUUUUAUUCAUGCACUUAAAUGGGUAGCCUUAGAGACAACUGUAAUGGAAAUUAUUUUAACAUUUCUUCACUGAUGUACUAGGGAUUGGAUUAUACUAACUACAGAAGCCCUAUCCAGUAAUGUACUUAAAAAUAAAUAAAUAAAUAAAUUAAAAAAUAAAUAAAUUACCAUUAAUUUUAUUUGCCUUGUGGCCAACCCUAUUGGAUAUACUCUAUGAUAUGAGUGUCAAUAAUGAGGACAUUUUGCAUGUUUGCAGUUACACCCCAAUAGAUAUAAAUUAAAGUAAUAUUUAUGAACAGUUAGUACCCAUGUGAAGUGGGCAGCAGUAUAGGUAGCAACAUUUUGAAAUAAUUAAUGGAAUCAGUUACUGAAAUCAAUUUCAGUAAAUAGAUGCUCAGUUUCUACUUGAAGCCACACACACACACACAUUUUCUCUUAAUUUCCUUGUAAGAACCUUCCACUGAUUAUAAUUAUUAUUGAGGCCAAUUAAUGCUACAGCCUCAUAUAACCCUAACCAAAAACCCAGUAACCAAAAGGAAACAUUUAGGCUUUUUUUUUCUUCUUUUUUUUUUUUUUUAAAGAUUUUUUUUUUUUUAAAAAGAAAGUAGUUGUGGUUUUAGUAGGGGGGAGCAGUAUUGCUUGUAGGGACCAACCACAAAAUCAAAAAGUCACAUAUCUCUGUCCUUGUGUGGAUAUCUGGUCCCCACCAAUAUUUAGCAUAAAACAUGUGUAAUAUAUAAUACAAGAUGCAAACCACAAACUGACAUACUUGAGUUACUGCUUUGCUACUGGAAAAUGUAGUUAAACUAAUAGUUCUGAUAAUACUGUUAGAUCAGACUGUUGGAAACUCCGAAGCAAAGACCAGGAAACUCUGGUAAAGCUUCAGCAGGAUUAUUUAUUGUAGAACACCAGGAGCAUCAGUCUACAGGUAAGAACGUGCUAUCUUGCACUACAGUCAUCAAGUCUGAAAGCAAUAAGCUAUACAUUGUAGUUUUUUUUUUUAAUACAUUUUGGGGGGCAGUGCUUAGAGGGGGAGACAGAGCACUCAGGUGACGACCUUAAACAAUGUAUGCAAAGGAACCCACCCCAGGCUCUGGAGUUUCACCAGUCCUAAUCCAAUCAGCAUAAUUAUAUAACUCAGACAACUUCAUUGUCAUAGAGAUAAAGAAAAGUCCACACCUAGGUACUAAACAUUUACACUUAAGUAAAGUAUUGAUGAUCAUGAACAAUGGCCAAUAAUUCAAAGAAUGGGACCGGGGCACCAAGAGCCAUCACAGACAAAAAGUGAUAGCCUCAGUUACCAUGUUUUUAAAUUUGUAUUCCCACAAGACUCUCCGGCUAGGAAUUUUUGGUAUCCAUCAUCAGUGUCCGUGAAUGAUGCAUGUUUGUAUACUUUAAGCAUUUAAAUAAACAUAAAUAAAAUAGUCAACAGGCACCAUGAAUGCAACAAACAAUCGAG